Molecule: non-coding RNA, 108 nt
Organism: Podarcis lilfordi (Lilford's wall lizard)
Lineage: Eukaryota; Metazoa; Chordata; Lepidosauria; Squamata; Lacertidae
Source: the annotation of a GenBank genome assembly
AUCACUUCCUGGCCUUUUGGCUAAGAUCAAGUGUAGCAUCUGUUCUUAUCAGAGUUGCUUACUUGGAAUAUUUUUGGGGGAAAUUAACAACAUGACCAGAGAGCUGCU